RNAcentral lists this ribosomal RNA (254 nucleotides) under uncultured bacterium. RNAcentral's name for it is "partial 16S ribosomal RNA". It matches the Rfam family "Bacterial small subunit ribosomal RNA", at positions 524 to 776 of the family's 1533-position model. The record is from RNAcentral.
UACGGGGGGGGGCAAGCGUUGUUCGGAAUUACUGGGUGUAAAGGGCUCGUAGGCGGCCAACUAAGUCGGAUGUGAAAUCCCCAGGCUCAACUUGGGAACUGCAUCCGAUACUGGAUGGCUUGAAUUCGGGAGAGGGAUGCAGAAUUCCAGGUGUAGCGGUGAAAUGCGUAGAUAUCUGGAGGAAUACCGGUGGCGAAGGCGGCAUCCUGGACCGACAUUGACGCUGAGGAGCGAAAGCUAGGGGAGCAAACGGG